Long non-coding RNA from Lates calcarifer (barramundi perch), 2358 nucleotides. RefSeq lists it as uncharacterized. The transcript is spliced from 3 exons. The record is from RefSeq and is a predicted model, not a curated record. NCBI's taxonomy places the organism in Eukaryota, Metazoa, Chordata, Actinopteri, Centropomidae.
CCCCACCCCCUCCACGACAUCCCCGAUUCAGUUGACCGCAGUUCAAUAACAUGACAGACCGUGUCUCCCUCAGAAAAACGUGCAAGCGUAUCCCUGGCCCCACAUAAUGACCCCGUUCGCCUUUCAAACGAUAAGAAACAGCAGUCACAUUAUCCACUGCUUACUUUGUCAGCUCAAAACGGUGGAAAUCGACAAGAAUUUUACAUCUGAGAAAACGAGAUGUUUUCUGCAAUCUGGACUCUUCUCCCUCCCACACUGUUUCAGAAGGGAAUGAGAGGAGCGGAGUAUACUCAUACAUUCAUCACACCACCACAUAUCCUCCAAAAUGACUAAAAUGUACAGUGGAGAGGUGGUAGACUGAGGAGCUCAUCACUCAUAGAGCCUUAACAAAAGGUGUCAGGCCCACACCAUGAGAAGAUGAAAGGUAAUCUUGGAUAAAUGUCAGGAUGUUUAAUCUUGCAAGUUUUUGUAUUUUAAUAACAUUGCAAUGACAUAAAAUGAUGCACAGGUUAUCUGCAAUUUAUUUUCAGUGUAAUGGUAUAAAUAGAUGACAUAAUUUGAAUUUGUCAAUUGUGUGUAUGCAUUAUGUACAAUAGCUGCUGGAACAGACAGAUUAGGUGCAUCUGUUAUCCAGUGUGUUAAAAUGUUUGGACUUUGAAGUUACUUUAAGAAAAUUGAAGAAUAUAAAGAUUUUGCAAGUUUCUUUUUUCUUUUUUUAAUUUUCAUAUAUAAUUCAUAACAUAUAGCAUAGACCAUAACAUAAAACAGGAGGUGUCUGCACUCUGUGGUUGGGAAAUGUUGUCAUCAUCUGAUGGUGGUCACGUAUACUGUUUGAUUUCAUACUGUAUGUGAGUAUGCAUUUGUAUUGUUUCACACACAAAAAUCUACAAGCAACACAUCUAACAGUGUGGGAUUUUUGUGUCGUGUAUAUUUACCUUAUACUGAUUUCAUGUAAAACACACAUGUAGUAAUAUUUCAAAUGGUUCCAGUUUAUUGGCAUCCACUGAAUCACUUUCAUUACAGAAAAACACUACUCUUACUGGUGGAGUCCUGGUAGUACAGUAUGAUUCUGCGGAGAGAAACACAUACCACACAGCAAGUAGGUAAGAAAAUUUCUAACUAAUAUCAACAGUGAAGCACACCUGGGUCAAAAUGUUGCUGAAAUCCCUCCUGGCGUACAGUUGUUGUAUUGAACAGUUUUUGUAAUUAUCUUUAAACAAAUAAUGGGUCAAAAUUCAUCCACUUUAAUAUUCAACAUCCAAAGUUUGUUUAACAUUAAUGUCAUUUUAAAGGCUAAUUAUUUGUUUUGGGCCCCACAAUGACUCCAGUGAUGACAUUUACACAUUUGGUUUAACAAACACUGGAAAGCUGCUGUGAGUCACAGUUUCACCUGCUGUUUGAAACAUUUUGUGGUUCAGGACAGUGAGGAGACACCAAUCAAUCAGAGAGUUUACUGAAAAGGAUUUGUCGCAGCAUCUCAACCCCAAGCUUGUUGCGUCAGCAGUUAAAUUACAGUUACUGUAAUCUUAUUUAACUUAUGAAAACACUCAUCCCACCAACAGCAGAAGCUGUGAUUUGCUUCUGAAAGCUUAAACAAAAUGAGUCUUGGUAAACAUAUCGCACAAUUUAUCAUAAAACUUCUCCAUAAAUGAUUUUUUCCCUGUAUUUUCUGUAUACAGACAACUGAAAAUCAAAUAUGAGCCAAACAAAUGAUACCUAUAGUUCUGGCCUUGACAGAGAACAGCUUGGAGAGCCCUCACAAACUUCUAAAUAUUUCACUGGGAAUAAGUCAUCCUUUGCCUUAGCCUUUAUCAAUUUUAAUAAAAGACUCUAGAGGUGAGUCUGAUGCUUCUACUUUUUAGUAAAAUAUUUAAUGUAUCAAUCAUCGUUAAGCAUUUUAAUCAUACUGGGUGAAUGUAAUAAUGUGAAUGAAUCAUCAUAAACUAUUUUCUUAAAUACUUGGAGCUGAGGAUGACAGUCUCAGUUUAUCUCACAUAUCUGAUGUAUUGAAUUAGAUAUGUGAGAUAAAGUGGAAUAGAUUAGACUUUCAAUACCAAAGCAGAUCUUGUGAUAUACAACAAGAUCAAAGAGAUUUCCUGUUCUGACCUAGUUAUGGUGAUAUUUCUUUCUUUCCAUAUCUGCCAACCCUACAUACGCUAAAACUAAAACACUUUUCUUUAGUUCUUUCUCACCAUUUUUCCCUUUCAAAAGAUACUGUCUUUUUGAAUUUUAGCAUUUCAGUUUUCCUACAAAUAAAAACCAGGCAGUUUCUUAGAAAGCAAACUUUGAAUUGUUUCUCCAAUCUCUAGGAUUUUUUUUUUUUUUUUUUUUUUGGUAAAACACAAACCUUGCCUAGUA